This 253-nucleotide ribosomal RNA is filed under the name uncultured bacterium. Its description in RNAcentral is "partial 16S ribosomal RNA". It matches the Rfam family "Bacterial small subunit ribosomal RNA", at positions 524 to 776 of the family's 1533-position model. The record is from RNAcentral.
UACGGGGGGGGCAAGCGUUGUCCGGAUUUAUUGGGCGUAAAGAGCGUGUAGGCGGCCAUACAGGUCAGCUGUGAAAACUCGAGGCUCAACCUCGAGACGUCGGUUGAAACCGUAUGGCUAGAGUCCGGAAGAGGAGAGUGGAAUUCCUGGUGUAGCGGUGAAAUGCGCAGAUAUCAGGAGGAACACCGGUGGCGAAGGCGGGUCUCUGGGCCGAUACUGACGCUGAGGAGCGAAAGCGUGGGGAGCGAACAGG